UACGUAGGGUGCAAGCGUUAAUCGGAAUUACUGGGCGUAAAGCGUGCGCAGGCGGUUCUAUAAGACAGAUGUGAAAUCCCCGGGCUCAACCUGGGAACUGCAUUUGUGACUGUAGAGCUGGAGUGCGGCAGAGGGGGAUGGAAUUCCGCGUGUAGCAGUGAAAUGCGUAGAUAUGCGGAGGAACACCGAUGGCGAAGGCAAUCCCCUGGGCCUGCACUGACGCUGAGGCGCGAAGGCGUGGGGAGCGAACGGG
RNAcentral lists this ribosomal RNA (253 nucleotides) under uncultured bacterium. RNAcentral's name for it is "partial 16S ribosomal RNA". It matches the Rfam family "Bacterial small subunit ribosomal RNA", at positions 524 to 776 of the family's 1533-position model. The record is from RNAcentral.